Zea mays is the source of this 1415-nucleotide long non-coding RNA. RefSeq lists it as uncharacterized. Lineage: Eukaryota; Viridiplantae; Streptophyta; Magnoliopsida; Poales; Poaceae. The record is from RefSeq and is a predicted model, not a curated record. The transcript is spliced from 3 exons.
GGUCGAACCCUCCCCCACAUACCGCCGGCAGCCUGCGGCCGAACUCUCCGCCGCAACCGCCCGCGGGAGGGAGCGCGGCAUCCUUCCAUCCUCCGCCCUCCUUCCAUCCUCGCGGAUCCCGCGCUCCCUCCCUCGCUCCUCACCUUCCCAGCUGCGAACAAUCCGAGCCCCGUCAACGCCCCUGCAAUCCCCGUCAGCCGCCGUGCCCCAUCAACGGGAGUUGCGACCACAAAGCACCCAAGCCCGUGCCCACCCUCCUCCCAGCGCUCCACCAUCGGCGCCCCUUCCCUGGCGAGAUGGACGGCAUCUGCGCCGUGUCCCUCAGAGAUCCCCUUCCAUCUUCGAGGCCGAGAGAGAAAUCCAUUCCAUUCCUGGCGAGAUCCAAGGGGCUGCGCUGUGUCCCUUCCAUACACGACGAGGACCACCAUCGGCGCCCCUUCCUUGGCGUGAUGGACAGCAUCUGCGCCGUGUUCUCUAGAGGCAGUCACGGCCGUGGAUCCCUACUACCCCCACUGCCACCCCGAGGACGCUUCCAAGCAGCUGACCUUCACUGAGUUCUUUGACAACGCUCCUCAGCGCUUCUAUUUUGCGCGGACGAGACUCAAUGCUUCCUCCUCCGUGCCGCCACUACUCCGCCCGUUCCCUAGCGACGAUAGCGGGUUAGGGUUUCUGUACCUGGAGCCACCACCUCCUCUGUCGUGUCCUCUGCCGCCUCCACCUUAUGGUUGGUGCUCAGGCCUUCGGGACUUCUGUCGGCAUCGCGCACCCACCAGGUAUUGGCGCUACACAUUAGCACCAAUUUUUGGAUGGUUUGUCAUAAGACACUGUGAGGACCACUUCUUUUAAUAAAUUUGCUAUACCGGAUCGCAGCAUGUCAAUGACUCUGUCUACAUGUCAACAUGGUCUAAUUCGUGAGGCAAGUGUGUGGAUCUUGGUCCAAUUCAGUUCAGACUUCAUCUACUUGUUAACAACUUCAGAAAAUUUCAGUAAUUACAACAGAUGGGCAAGACCUGUACUUAGUUCAGCAACCUCAGUUCCUCUCUAUCGACAACUGUAGGUCAUGGUUAUCUGCAUUUCCUGUUCGGUGCGUUAUCUGGGUGCCUCAAGAAUAAAGGUGGAAGGAAUUUUGCGCUCUAGAAGUGGAGGAGGUUGACAGUAGAUUGCAAGAAUAUGAGCAAGGUUUUUUUCAUUACUUAGUUUGUAUUUAAAAUUGUAGAAUAUGAGAAAGGUUUUUUGACACUCACUAUUUCGACAUAUGGGUUUUCUGUAUAUCUCUUGAUUUGUUUAGUGCUUUGCUGGGCCAGGGUCUUAGGUUGGUAGAUUUACAUUUACCUCCACUGCUUUAUGAGGUUCAGCCUUAUCGAUUAUCCCUUCAAUCCUGAAACCGUAACGUGAUGCUUCUAAUUGAACAGCAA